CCUACGGGGAGGCAGCAGUAGGGAAUCUUCCACAAUGGGCGAAAGCCUGAUGGAGCAACGCCGCGUGAGUGAAGAAGGAUUUCGGUUCGUAAAACUCUGUUGUAAGGGAAGAACAAGUACAGUAGUAACUGGCUGUACCUUGACGGUACCUUAUUAGAAAGCCACGGCUAACUACGUGCCAGCAGCCGCGGUAAUACGUAGGUGGCAAGCGUUGUCCGGAAUUAUUGGGCGUAAAGCGCGCGCAGGUGGUUUCUUAAGUCUGAUGUGAAAGCCCACGGCUCAACCGUGGAGGGUCAUUGGAAACUGGGAGACUUGAGUGCAGAAGAGGAUAGUGGAAUUCCAAGUGUAGCGGUGAAAUGCGUAGAGAUUUGGAGGAACACCAGUGGCGAAGGC
RNAcentral lists this ribosomal RNA (393 nucleotides) under Lysinibacillus sp. Its description in RNAcentral is "bacterial SSU rRNA". It matches the Rfam family "Bacterial small subunit ribosomal RNA", at positions 338 to 722 of the family's 1533-position model. The record is from RNAcentral. Lineage: Bacteria; Bacillati; Bacillota; Bacilli; Caryophanales; Bacillaceae.